AUACGGAGGGUGCAAGCGUUACUCGGAAUCACUGGGCGUAAAGCGCGCGCAGGCGGCUAUUUAAGUUGGAUGUGAAAGCCUACGGCCCAACCGUAGAACUGCAUCCAAAACUAUUUAGCUAGAGUGUGGGAGAGGAAGAUGGAAUUAGUUGUGUAGGGGUAAAAUCCGUAGAGAUAACUAGGAAUACCAAAAGCGAAGGCAAUCUUCUGGAACACUACUGACGCUGAGGCGCGAAAGCGUGGGGAGCAAACGGGAUUAGAAACCCUAGUAGUCC
This 274-nucleotide ribosomal RNA is filed under the name uncultured bacterium. RNAcentral describes it as "partial 16S ribosomal RNA". It matches the Rfam family "Bacterial small subunit ribosomal RNA", at positions 523 to 796 of the family's 1533-position model. The record is from RNAcentral.